Drosophila melanogaster (fruit fly) is the source of this 127-nucleotide small nucleolar RNA. Lineage: Eukaryota; Metazoa; Arthropoda; Insecta; Diptera; Drosophilidae. The record is from Ensembl.
CGCCACAAAAGCAACCAACAAUAUGAUAAUUUCGCAAAGCAGGAGGCGACUGAAGCCAAAACGAGAUGUGGGAAACUUGGCUGCUGCAUUAUUAUAAUUGUGGCUGACAAAUGCGACAAAAACAAAA